RNAcentral lists this ribosomal RNA (315 nucleotides) under Triticum aestivum (bread wheat). RNAcentral describes it as "partial small subunit ribosomal RNA". The record is from RNAcentral. Lineage: Eukaryota; Viridiplantae; Streptophyta; Magnoliopsida; Poales; Poaceae.
AUGCGGGGGGAAUGGUCAAAAAUCAACUCCCAACCCCACCCACCCAGAGCACCACCAGCGCGAAUCCUGCGUUUUCUCUCUCCGCUCAACAAACGCCCCGAAGACAUGGCGGCCGCAGAAGCCUCCACGCAAGCGCACGUCUACGCACACAGCACACCCACUCUUCAAAGUUCAGACCACCAUGAGAUCAGACACUGCCUGCGGGCCGCAGUCCCGGACUCACCUAACGCCGUCACUACUCGUGGUUCUUUUGCACGUGCUCUGUUCGACAAAGUCAAACAAUGUUUUACAUCCGCGCUGCUCUUCAUUAUUUAA